GGGACAACAGUUGGAAACGACUGCUAAUACCGCAUAAGCCCACGGGUCGGCAUCGAGCAGAGGGAAAAGGAGCAAUCCGCCUUGAGAUGGCCUCGCGUCCGAUUAGCUAGUUGGUGAGGUAACGGCCCACCAAGGCAACGAUCGGUAGCCGGACUGAGAGGUUGAACGGCCACAUUGGGACUGAGACACGGCCCAGACUCCUACGGGAGGCAGCAGUGGGGAAUAUUGCACAAUGGGGGAAACCCUGAUGCAGCGACGCCGCGUGGAGGAAGAAGGUCUUCGGAUUGUAAACUCCUGUUGUUGAGGAAGAUAAUGACGGUACUCAACAGGGAAGUGACGGCUAACUACGUGCCAGCAGCCGCGGUAAAACGUAGGUCACAAGCGUUGUCCGGAAUUACUGGGUGUAAAGGGAGCGCAGGCGGGAAGACAAGUUGGAAGUGAAAUCCAUGGGCUCAACCCAUGAACUGCUUUCAAAACUGUUUUUCUUGAGUAGUGCAGAGGUAGGCGGAAUUCCCGGUGUAGCGGUGGAAUGCGUAGAUAUCGGGAGGAACACCAGUGGCGAAGGCGGCCUACUGGGCACCAACUGACGCUGAGGCUCGAAAGUGUGGGUAGCAAACAGGAUUAGAUACCCUGGUAGUCCACACCGUAAACGAUGAUUACUAGGUGUUGGAGGAUUGACCCCUUCAGUGCCGCAG
RNAcentral lists this ribosomal RNA (695 nucleotides) under uncultured bacterium. RNAcentral's name for it is "bacterial SSU rRNA". It matches the Rfam family "Bacterial small subunit ribosomal RNA", at positions 140 to 851 of the family's 1533-position model. The record is from RNAcentral.